AUACGAUACCAUACUUUUGUUUCGCAGUCUUUCCAUCAAUUCAGCAGUCAUAAUGAAAUACUUCAUUAUCUUCUCUGUAAUUUUACUCGUUGCCACAGCAGCCACAGCCAUUCCGGCGAGUGACCAAGGCAGGUCUCUAGCCAAACGCGGAGUAGGAUGCUGGUGUGCUGGUCACGUCGACAGGGGUAUUUUCUGGUUUUUUGCAAUUAAAUGCUAUCCAAAGGAAGUCAUUUGUGAAAAAUUUCUUAGUGGGAUUUGCUGUAGGCCACAAAAAUACGAAGGAGAAAAAAUGUUCUAAUGAUUUAAUAAGAGUAAAUAAGAUAAAUGCACCAACAUUCGCAAUCAAGUGCAGUAGAAUUUUCAUUCAUGGUAAAUCAGCUCUAUUUGUUGUACUUGCACCAUGUAAACUGUAAAAUAAAAGAACUUAACGCUUGAAUCAAAAUAAACUUUUACUCAGUAGCCCACAGGCAGCCCAAACAA
This is a long non-coding RNA of Actinia tenebrosa (Australian red waratah sea anemone), 480 nucleotides long. The record is from RefSeq and is a predicted model, not a curated record. NCBI's taxonomy places the organism in Eukaryota, Metazoa, Cnidaria, Anthozoa, Actiniaria, Actiniidae.